UACGUAGGUGGCAAGCGUUGUCCGGAAUUAUUGGGCGUAAAGCGCGCGCAGGUGGUUUCUUAAGUCUGAUGUGAAAGCCCACGGCUCAACCGUGGAGGGUCAUUGGAAACUGGGGAACUUGAGUGCAGGAGAGAAGAGUGGAAUUCCACGUGUAGCGGUGAAAUACGUAGAGAUGCGGAGGAACACCGAUGGCGAAGGCAGCCCCCUGGGCUAACACUGACGCUCAGGCACGAAAGCGUGGGGAGCAAACAGG
Molecule: ribosomal RNA, 253 nt
Filed under: uncultured bacterium
Lineage: Bacteria
Description: partial 16S ribosomal RNA
Rfam family: Bacterial small subunit ribosomal RNA
Source: RNAcentral